AGAAUUCAUACUGGAGAGAAACCUUACAAAUGUAAUCAAUGUGAUAAAGCCUUUGCACGACACAGUCAUCUCCAAAUCCAUAAAAGAACACAUACUGGAGAGAAACCCUAUGAAUGUAAUCAAUGUGGUAAAGCCUUUGUAUGUUCCAGUCAUCUCCAAAGACAUAAAAGAAUGCACACUGGGGAGAAACCUUAUGAAUGUAAUCAGUGUGGUAAAGCCUUUGCAUAUCAUUGUGGACUUCAAAGUCAUGUAAGAGCACAUACUGGAGAGAAGCCCUACGAAUGUAUUCAAUGUGGUAAAGCCUUCGCAUGUCACAUUAGUCUUCAAAACCAUGAAAGAAUGCAUAUUGGAGAGAAACCCUAUG
This 364-nucleotide long non-coding RNA is filed under the name Rattus norvegicus (Norway rat). Its description in RNAcentral is "long non-coding RNA NONRATT009158". Lineage: Eukaryota; Metazoa; Chordata; Mammalia; Rodentia; Muridae. The record is from RNAcentral.